CCUACGGGAGGCAGCAGUAGGGAAUCUUCCGCAAUGGACGAAAGUCUGACGGAGCAACGCCGCGUGAGCGAAGAAGGCCUUCGGGUCGUAAAGCUCUGUUGUUAGGGAAGAACAAGUACCGGAGUAACUGCCGGUACCUUGACGGUACCUAACCAGAAAGCCACGGCUAACUACGUGCCAGCAGCCGCGGUAAU
This 194-nucleotide ribosomal RNA is filed under the name uncultured Bacillus sp. RNAcentral's name for it is "partial 16S ribosomal RNA". It matches the Rfam family "Bacterial small subunit ribosomal RNA", at positions 338 to 524 of the family's 1533-position model. The record is from RNAcentral. Lineage: Bacteria; Bacillati; Bacillota; Bacilli; Caryophanales; Bacillaceae.